RNAcentral lists this long non-coding RNA (966 nucleotides) under Homo sapiens (human). RNAcentral's name for it is "HSALNT0402855". The record is from RNAcentral. Lineage: Eukaryota; Metazoa; Chordata; Mammalia; Primates; Hominidae.
GAAUGGCAUGAACCCGGGAGGCGGAGCUUGCAGUGAGUGGAGAUCGCGCCACUGCACUCCAGCCUAGGCAACAGAGCGAGACUCCGUCAAAAAAAAUAAAAGAAAAAAAAAUCCCUGUGAACAACUUACAGCAAAAAUGAAACAAAUGAAAAAUAAGCUUCGUGUACUACAAAAGGAACUAACAGAAGCAAAAUAAAUAAAAUCAUAGAGAAUCAAAAACUUAAAAGAGAACAAGAGCUCUGCAGUGUGAGAUUGACUUUAAACCAAGAAGAAGAGAAGAGAAGAAAUGCCAAUAUAUUAAAUGAAAAAUUAGGGAAGAAUUAGGAAAAAUCGAAGAGCAACAAAAGAAAAAGUUAGAAGUGAAGCAACUUGAGCUCACUCUCCGAAUAUACAAAAUAUGGAAUUGAAGACUGUAAGAAGUAAUUUGAAUCAGCUCAAUCAAUCGCUGCGAUGUAUGAAAGAUCUAAUUUCUCUACGGCCUCACCAGGGUGGAGUGCAGUGGCGCACUCUCAGCUCACUGCAAGCUCCACCUCCCGGGUUCACGCCAUCCUCCUGCCUCAGCCUCCCGAGAAGCUGGGACUACGGGCGCCUGCCACCACGCCCGGCUAAUUUUUUGUAUUUUUUAGUAGAGAUGGGGUUUCACCAUGUUAGCCAGGAUGGUCUUGAUCUCCUGACCUCGUGAUCCGUCCGCCUCAGCCUCCCAAAGUGCUGGGAUUACAGGCGUGAGCCACCGUGCCCAACCAUUUGUCAUUUUUUAUUGUGGGUACACUAGUGGGUGUUAAGUGAUAUCUGCUUGUGGUUUUGAUUUUGCAUUUUCUUGAUGGCUUGUGAUGUUAGGCUUUUCUUCAAGCACUUAUUGGACGCUCUUAUAUCUUCUUCACAAAAAUGUCUAUUUAAAUAUUUUGCCUAUUUUUAUGUAUUUUUUCUUUUUGUUGUUGAGUUGUAAAAGCUAUUUGUGCAUUUUGG